Molecule: long non-coding RNA, 1107 nt
Organism: Oncorhynchus tshawytscha (Chinook salmon)
Lineage: Eukaryota; Metazoa; Chordata; Actinopteri; Salmoniformes; Salmonidae
Source: Ensembl
CAUGGAGUCUUCUGUCUAGUCCUAUGGGCCCCAGGCCAGGUAAAACACAGCAUGGAGUCUUCUGUCUAGUCCUAUGGGCCCCAGGCCAGGUAAAACACAGCAUGGAGUCUUCUGUCCAGCCCUAUGGGCCCCAGGCCAGGUAAAACACAACAUGGAGUCUUCUGUCUAGUCCUAUGGGCCCCAGGCCAGGUAAAACACAGCAUGGAGUCUUCUGUCUAGUCCAAUGGGCCACAGGCCAGGUAAAACACAGCAUGGAGUCUUCUGUCUAGUCCAAUGGGCCCCAGGCCAGGUAAAACACAACAUGGAGUCUUCUGUCUAGUCCUAUGGGCCCCAGGCCAGGUAAAACACAACAUGGAGUCUUCUGUCUAGUCCAAUGGGCCCCAGGCCAGGUAAAACACAACAUGGAGUCUUCUGUCUAGUCCUAUGGGCCCCAGGCCAGGUAAAACACAGCAUGGAGUCUUCUGUCUAGUCCUAUGGGCCCCAGGCCUGGUAAAACACAGCAUGGAGUCUUCUGUCUAGUCUUAUGGGCCCCAGGUAAAACACAGCAUCUGACAAACUGGGAGCUAAGGGACAGCUGUUUGUCACUGGCUGGGUACAUGCAGGUAUGGUGGACGUUGAUGUGGCAACGGCAAGCACUGUUGGGGGAGGAGAUUGCUGUAGCCUCCGUUAUUAUAUGAAGAGGAGAUUAUAAUGAAGGCUACAGACAUAACGAGCUACAUCUAAGUACUUUGGCCUCAACCUUUAAUAAACAACAGCCUUUGAUCUGUUUUCACCCAGUGUACCUGAUGGAACUCACUGACUACCUUUUUAAUGGGCAUCUAUCAUUACUUUUGAAGGUACCGGUCGAUGUCUUAGUCCUACAAAUAGCUGGUUGGUCUGGUUUGUGUGUGGCUGCUUGCUGAAUAAGCUUUGUUGUGCAGAAUGCUGGUGGGAGGAAGGUAUUUAUCUUCCUCUGAGGUACAGGUCAUAGUUAAGCAGGAUGGCAGUUGUCUAUCUGAUGGACUCUUCCUGCUAAACCUGCUUGAAUGGGUUAGGGUUUCUGCUGCUGUGUCAGAUAUCACUGUGAAGAUUAAUGGGUUGUUGAGCUGUGUGUGUGUGUGUGUGUGU